GUGACCUGCGGAGGAC
RNAcentral lists this ribosomal RNA (16 nucleotides) under Usnea ceratina. Its description in RNAcentral is "partial 18S ribosomal RNA". The record is from RNAcentral. Lineage: Eukaryota; Fungi; Ascomycota; Lecanoromycetes; Lecanorales; Parmeliaceae.